AGAUAACAUGGUCAUAAUUGAUACAUCAAUGCAAGCUUGCUUGCGUAUUGAUGUAUCAAUUCAUGACCUGAAAAAGCAUGAGUAAAAAAAUGGGGUAGGGGCCCCAUGAUUUACGAAUGCUUUUGAGGAUUGUGAAAGUGCGAAGCACGUAACAAUCCGUGUUAUCU
RNAcentral lists this small RNA (167 nucleotides) under Butyrivibrio hungatei DSM 14810. RNAcentral's name for it is "Clostridiales-1 RNA". It matches the Rfam family "Clostridiales-1 RNA". The record is from RNAcentral. Lineage: Bacteria; Bacillati; Bacillota; Clostridia; Lachnospirales; Lachnospiraceae.